Molecule: unclassified non-coding RNA, 70 nt
Filed under: Oryza sativa (Asian cultivated rice)
Lineage: Eukaryota; Viridiplantae; Streptophyta; Magnoliopsida; Poales; Poaceae
Description: partial microRNA MIR466 precursor
Source: RNAcentral
AGGACGCCAUGUGUGCGGGGUUAGGUGGGCGGUCCCAAUGCGCACCUAACAGCAUUUAAGGCGGCCUGAG